This 284-nucleotide long non-coding RNA is filed under the name Canis lupus familiaris (dog). RNAcentral describes it as "lncRNA (ENSCAFG00030021321.1)". The record is from RNAcentral. Lineage: Eukaryota; Metazoa; Chordata; Mammalia; Carnivora; Canidae.
UGAUGGUGCCGUCCCCUCUGCACCCGUGCAAGGAGGCUGUGUGAAACUGAGGAUCCCAAGAUGUAGGGAGCCCGUGGGACCAGCCAGAGAUGGCAUCCUGGCGAGAGCUCCGUGUGCACACAUGUAGUGAAUGUGCUUUGACCAUAGAAAGGACUAUACUCAGAAGUAGUGCUAAGUUGCCAGUGGAAACUGCCCAUGGGCCACAUGAGAGACCACGGAUCCUGCAAUGCUCGGGAUGCAUAAAGCUGGCACAGAAGUGCUGCAGAGAGGCUGUCACCAGUUAG